This is a long non-coding RNA of Ornithorhynchus anatinus (platypus), 413 nucleotides long. RefSeq lists it as uncharacterized. The transcript has 2 exons. The record is from RefSeq and is a predicted model, not a curated record. Lineage: Eukaryota; Metazoa; Chordata; Mammalia; Monotremata; Ornithorhynchidae.
AGUCACUGGGGAAAAUCCAACCAUAUUUGAGAGACAACUGGAAGUCAGUACAGUAUUUUGAGAAAGAGACUGGCAUGCCUAAUUGGUUACUUGAUGGACCAAUUGCGGGGAAAGGAUAAAUUGGAGUUGGGAGAGACAAGAGAUCAAUAAGGAAAUUAAUAAGUAGACUCUGGUGGGGGGCUAUGGUUAGAGGGAUGGAGAGAGCAUUUAACAAGAUGCUGACAGACGUAGUCAUCAAUCUUAUAUAACCCUGCCUGGUAGAAAUACUUCUGCUUAUCUCAGCCUAAAUAGUAGAAGAGACAACUGAAUAAGAAUGAAGAAUUUUGAACAUCUUUUCUUUAUGAAUCCUGUUUGCAGAUUUAAGUGGUCAACAUGAUUAUUUUCAAAGUAGAAUACAGGUUUUUGUACCAGGA